Molecule: ribosomal RNA, 882 nt
Filed under: Citrobacter braakii
Lineage: Bacteria; Pseudomonadati; Pseudomonadota; Gammaproteobacteria; Enterobacterales; Enterobacteriaceae
Description: partial 23S ribosomal RNA
Rfam family: Bacterial large subunit ribosomal RNA
Source: RNAcentral
CCCGUACACAAAAGUGCAUGUGUUGUGAACUCGAAGAGUAGGGCGGGACACGUGGUAUCCUGUCUGAAUAUGGGGGGACCAUCCUCCAAGGCUAAAUACUCCUGACUGACCGAUAGUGAACCAGUACCGUGAGGGAAAGGCGAAAAGAACCCCGGCGAGGGGAGUGAAAAAGAACCUGAAACCGUGUACGUACAAGCAGUGGGAGCCUCUUUAUGGGGUGACUGCGUACCUUUUGUAUAAUGGGUCAGCGACUUAUAUUCUGUAGCAAGGUUAACCGAAUAGGGGAGCCGAAGGGAAACCGAGUCUUAACUGGGCGUUAAGUUGCAGGGUAUAGACCCGAAACCCGGUGAUCUAGCCAUGGGCAGGUUGAAGGUUGGGUAACACUAACUGGAGGACCGAACCGACUAAUGUUGAAAAAUUAGCGGAUGACUUGUGGCUGGGGGUGAAAGGCCAAUCAAACCGGGAGAUAGCUGGUUCUCCCCGAAAGCUAUUUAGGUAGCGCCUCGUGAAUUCAUCUUCGGGGGUAGAGCACUGUUUCGGCUAGGGGGUCAUCCCGACUUACCAACCCGAUGCAAACUGCGAAUACCGAAGAAUGUUAUCACGGGAGACACACGGCGGGUGCUAACGUCCGUCGUGAAGAGGGAAACAACCCAGACCGCCAGCUAAGGUCCCAAAGUCAUGGUUAAGUGGGAAACGAUGUGGGAAGGCACAGACAGCCAGGAUGUUGGCUUAGAAGCAGCCAUCAUUUAAAGAAAGCGUAAUAGCUCACUGGUCGAGUCGGCCUGCGCGGAAGAUGUAACGGGGCUAAACCAUGCACCGAAGCUGCGGCAGCGACACUAUGUGUUGUUGGGUAGGGGAGCGUUCUGUAAGCCGUUGAAGGUG